AUCCCAUUGCUCUGAUGUGACAAGGUGACAAGACAGAGUGCGUAAAGACUGGGACGUGGCUACUAAGUUCACACAUGCGGAAUUGAGUGGCGCUCGGUGCUGCUGUGCGGGGAUGAGCACAUGGCUAUUUGGCUGAGUGCUGCUACCACCUGAGCCCACGCCACACCUUGUGUGCUUUUGAAUUGAACUCAUGCGCAUUAUUUUCUUGCAUCUAAAAAAGCAUAGAAUUUUUACUCACAGCUCAGUCAAGACCGUGUUGGCGGUAACAGUUCAUUUCUUUCAUUAUAGUUUUUAAAAUUCAGUUAUUGGAUGAUAUUGCAAUGACAUUCUUAAAAGAUUUCCUCCAAAGAGCAAUCUUAAAAUGAUAGUGUGUUAAUUAUAAGGAAAACAGGCUAUCUUUUGAUGUGCGUUUCCCAAUAUUCUCUGAGCCUGGAGGACAGCUGUCUUGUGCGGGAUUUUUGGUUCCGGUGCCAACAAUGUGGAAAAUGUGGUUGCAGUCUGCUGCACAGGGAGUGCCAGGUGCAUUCUGCCCCAUGCCCUGCUGACCUCGGGACCCUGACUUUGAAGGUUAUACAGCUCCUUAAAGAAUAAAGCUGGAAAAUAUUUUAGUGAAGUUAUCAUAUUUGUAUCUUGAUUUACAAAAAUGCUAACUUUGAGAUACAAACAGGUUUGGAAAAAAAUGUAUUAAGUACUUUGUAUUCUGGAACCGUAAAUUGAUUUUGAAGUCUGUCAGUAUUACUGGUAUUUUUCAAUAAAGAGUAAUUUCC
RNAcentral lists this long non-coding RNA (767 nucleotides) under Mus musculus (house mouse). Its description in RNAcentral is "long non-coding RNA chr10:41907654-41908421". The record is from RNAcentral. Lineage: Eukaryota; Metazoa; Chordata; Mammalia; Rodentia; Muridae.